Molecule: non-coding RNA, 148 nt
Organism: Homo sapiens (human)
Lineage: Eukaryota; Metazoa; Chordata; Mammalia; Primates; Hominidae
Rfam family: Metazoan signal recognition particle RNA
About the family: The signal recognition particle (SRP) is a universally conserved ribonucleoprotein. It is involved in the co-translational targeting of proteins to membranes.
Source: Rfam
GCUGGGUGUGGUGGCGCACGCCUGUAAUCCUAGCCACUAAGGAAGCUGAGGCAGGAGAAUUGCUUGAACCCAGGAGGCGGAGGCUGCAGUGAGCCGAGAUCGCGCCACUGCCCUCCAGCCUGGGUGACAGAGCGAGACACUCUCUUCU